RNAcentral lists this ribosomal RNA (471 nucleotides) under uncultured bacterium. RNAcentral describes it as "bacterial SSU rRNA". It matches the Rfam family "Bacterial small subunit ribosomal RNA", at positions 355 to 825 of the family's 1533-position model. The record is from RNAcentral.
UGGGGAAUCUUGCGCAAUGGGGGAAACCCUGACGCAGCGACGCCGCGUGAGUGAUGAAGGCCUUCGGGUCGUAAAGCUCUGUGGGGAGGGACGAAUAAGUAUUGGCUAACAUCCAAUAUGAUGACGGUACCUCCUUAGCAAGCACCGGCUAACUCUGUGCCAGCAGCCGCGGUAAGACAGAGGGUGCAAACGUUGUUCGGAAUUACUGGGCGUAAAGCGCGUGUAGGCGGCGUAGCAAGUCGGGCGUGAAAGCCCACGGCUCAACCGUGGAAGAGCACUCGAAACUGCUGCGCUAGAGUUCUGGAGAGGAAGGCGGAAUGCUUGGUGUAGAGGUGAAAUUCGUAGAUAUCAAGCGGAACACCGGUGGCGAAGGCGGCCUUCUGGACAGUGACUGACGCUGAAACGCGAAAGCGUGGGGAGCAAACAGGAUUAGAUACCCUAGUAGUCCCUGAGCGGGCUGGCAAGGCGCAU